GUCAGGGUGGCCGAGCGGUCUAAGGCGCUGCGUUCAGGUCACAGUUUCCCCCGGAGGCAUGGGUUUGAAUCCCACCCCUGACA
RNAcentral lists this transfer RNA (83 nucleotides) under Chrysemys picta bellii (western painted turtle). Its description in RNAcentral is "tRNA-Leu (CAG) (tRNA-Leu-CAG-3-1)". It matches the Rfam family "tRNA". From Rfam's summary of the family: Transfer RNA (tRNA) molecules are approximately 80 nucleotides in length. Their secondary structure includes four short double-helical elements and three loops (D, anti-codon, and T loops). The record is from Rfam by way of RNAcentral. Lineage: Eukaryota; Metazoa; Chordata; Testudines; Emydidae.